RNAcentral lists this ribosomal RNA (253 nucleotides) under uncultured bacterium. Its description in RNAcentral is "partial 16S ribosomal RNA". It matches the Rfam family "Bacterial small subunit ribosomal RNA", at positions 524 to 776 of the family's 1533-position model. The record is from RNAcentral.
GACGUAGGGACCAAGCGUUGUCCGGAGUUACUGGGCGUAAAGCGCGCGCGGGUGGCCGCAUUAGCCUGGCGUGAAAGCCCCCGGCUCAACCGGGGAGAGUCGUCGGGGACGGUGCGGCUUGAGGACGACAGGGGUCGGUGGAAUGCCCGGUGUAGUGGUGAAAUGCGUAGAGAUCGGGCGGAACACCCGUGGCGAAGGCGGCCGGCUGGGUCGGACCUGACACUGAGGCGCGAAGGCGUGGGGAGCGAACGGG